AAAUGAAUUGACGGGGGCCCGCACAAGCGGUGGAGCAUGUGGUUUAAUUCGAUGCAACGCGAAGAACCUUACCAUCCCUUGACAUCCUCGGAAAGGUCCGUAGUGGACCCGUGCCUUCGGGAACCGAGUGACAGGUGCUGCACGGCUGUCGUCAGCUCGUGUCGUGAGAUGUUGGGUUAAGUCCCGCAACGAGCGCAACCCCUAUCCUUAGUUGCUAACAUUUAGUUGAGAACUCUAAGGAGACUGCCGGUGAUAAGCCGGAGGAAGGUGGGGACGACGUCAAGUCAUCAUGGCCCUUACGGGAUGGGCUACACACGUGCUACAAUGGUGCAUACAGAGGGUUGCCAACCCGCGAGGGGGAGCUAAUCCCAGAAAGUGCAUCUUAGUCCGGAUCGCAGUCUGCAACUCGACUGCGUGAAGUCGGAAUCGCUAGUAAUCGCGAAUCAGCAAUGUCGCGGUGAAUACGUUCCCGGGCCUUGUACACACCGCCCGU
Molecule: ribosomal RNA, 493 nt
Filed under: uncultured bacterium
Lineage: Bacteria
Description: bacterial SSU rRNA
Rfam family: Bacterial small subunit ribosomal RNA
Source: RNAcentral